GGCAGCAUGGUACAGUGGUUUAGUGUUUCACUACAACUCUGGAGACUAGGGUUCAAUUCCCUGCUUGGCCA
Molecule: non-coding RNA, 71 nt
Organism: Phrynosoma platyrhinos (Desert horned lizard)
Lineage: Eukaryota; Metazoa; Chordata; Lepidosauria; Squamata; Phrynosomatidae
Source: the annotation of a GenBank genome assembly